UACAUAGGGUGCAAGCGUUAUCCGGAAUUACUGGGCGUAAAGCGAGCGCAGGCGGAUUUUUAAGUCUAAGGUGAAAUAGUGUGGCUCAACCAUGCUGUGCCUUGGAUACUGGAAGUCUAGAAUUUUAGAGAGAGAGGCGGAACUCCAUGUGUAGCGGUGGAAUGCGUAGAUAUAUGGAAGAACACCAGUGGCGAAAGCGGCCUCUUGGCUAAACAUUGACGCUUAGGCUCGAAAGCGUGGGGAGCAAAUAGG
Molecule: ribosomal RNA, 252 nt
Filed under: uncultured bacterium
Lineage: Bacteria
Description: partial 16S ribosomal RNA
Rfam family: Bacterial small subunit ribosomal RNA
Source: RNAcentral